RNAcentral lists this ribosomal RNA (497 nucleotides) under uncultured bacterium. RNAcentral's name for it is "partial 16S ribosomal RNA". It matches the Rfam family "Bacterial small subunit ribosomal RNA", at positions 28 to 507 of the family's 1533-position model. The record is from RNAcentral.
GAUGAACGCUGGCGGCGUGCCUAAUACAUGCAAGUCGAGCGAACAGAUGAGGAGCUUGCUCCUCUGACGUUAGCGGCGGACGGGUGAGUAACACGUGGAUAACCUACCUAUAAGACUGGGAUAACUUCGGGAAACCGGAGCUAAUACCGGAUAAUAUAUUGAACCGCAUGGUUCAAUAGUGAAAGACGGUUUUGCUGUCACUUAUAGAUGGAUCCGCGCCGCAUUAGCUAGUUGGUAAGGUAACGGCUUACCAAGGCAACGAUGCGUAGCCGACCUGAGAGGGUGAUGUGCCACACUGGAACUGAGACACGGUCCAGACUCCUACGGGAGGCAGCAGUAGGGAAUCUUCCGCAAUGGGCGAAAGCCUGACGGAGCAACGCCGCGUGAGUGAUGAAGGUCUUCGGAUCGUAAAACUCUGUUAUUAGGGAAGAACAAAUGUGUAAGUAACUAUGCACGUCUUGACGGUACCUAAUCAGAAAGCCACGGCUAACUACGUG